UACAGAGGGGGCGAGCGUUAUUCGGAAUUAUUGGGCGUAAAGGGCGCGUAGGCGGCUUUUCAAGUGACGGGUGAAAUCCCUCGGCUUAACCGAGGAACUGCCUGUCAGACUGGAAGGCUUGAGACCGGGAGAGGUGAGUGGAAUUCCCAGUGUAGCGGUGAAAUGCGUAGAUAUUGGGAGGAACACCAGUGGCGAAGGCGGGUCUCUGGGCCGAUACUGACGCUGAGGAGCGAAAGCGUGGGGAGCGAACAGG
Molecule: ribosomal RNA, 253 nt
Filed under: uncultured bacterium
Lineage: Bacteria
Description: partial 16S ribosomal RNA
Rfam family: Bacterial small subunit ribosomal RNA
Source: RNAcentral